This 71-nucleotide transfer RNA is filed under the name Candidatus Roizmanbacteria bacterium RIFCSPLOWO2_02_FULL_38_10. RNAcentral describes it as "tRNA-Gln". It matches the Rfam family "tRNA". Rfam says of the family: Transfer RNA (tRNA) molecules are approximately 80 nucleotides in length. Their secondary structure includes four short double-helical elements and three loops (D, anti-codon, and T loops). The record is from RNAcentral. Lineage: Bacteria; Candidatus Roizmaniibacteriota.
UGGGAGAUCGUCCAAUGGUAGGACAGAGGACUUUGGAUCCUCUAAUCUAGGUCCGACUCCUAGUCUCCCAG